AUUGAACGCUGGCGGCAGGCCUAACACAUGCAAGUCGAACGAGUGGCGGACGGGUGAGUAAUGUAUGGGAACCUGCCUGUUGGCGGGGGAUAACUACUGGAAACGGUAGCUAAUACCGCAUACCAUCGGAUGUGCCCAGAUGGGAUUAGCUAGGAGGGGGGGUAACGGCGCACCUAGGCGACGAUCCCUAGCUGGUCUGAGAGGAUGACCAGCCACAAUGGAACUGAGACACGGUCCAGAGUCCUACGGGAGGCAGCAGUGGGGAAUAUUGCAAAAUGGGCGCAAGCCUGAUGCAGCAAUGCCGCGUGUAUGAAGAAGGCCUUCGGGUUGUAAAGUACUUUCAGCGGGGAGGCGUUACCCGCAGAAGAAGCACCGGCUAACUCCGUGCCAGCAGCCGCGGUAAUUC
Molecule: ribosomal RNA, 406 nt
Filed under: uncultured bacterium
Lineage: Bacteria
Description: partial 16S ribosomal RNA
Rfam family: Bacterial small subunit ribosomal RNA
Source: RNAcentral